GAUGAAGAACGCAGCGAAAUGCGAUAAGUAGUGUGAAUUGCAGAAUUCAGUGAAUCAUCGAAUCUUUGAACGCACAUUGCGCCCUUUGGUAUUCCUUAGGGCAUGCCUGUUCGAGCGUCAUUUAAACCUUCAAGCUCAGCUUGGUGAUGGGCGACUGUCCCCCCCCCCUCGCGGGGGGGACUCGCCUCAAAAACAUUGGCGGCCGGUACAUUGGCUUCGAGCGCAGCAGAAACGCGGUCUCGAGCCCGGUGGAUCGGCUCCCAUAAGCCUAUUCUUUUAUUUUGACCUCGGAUCAGGUAGGGAUACCCGCUGAACUUAAGCAUACAAUAAGCAGAGGA
Molecule: unclassified non-coding RNA, 338 nt
Filed under: soil metagenome
Description: partial contains 5.8S ribosomal RNA, internal transcribed spacer 2, and large subunit ribosomal RNA
Rfam family: 5.8S ribosomal RNA (bases 1-120)
Source: RNAcentral